This 253-nucleotide ribosomal RNA is filed under the name uncultured bacterium. RNAcentral describes it as "partial 16S ribosomal RNA". It matches the Rfam family "Bacterial small subunit ribosomal RNA", at positions 524 to 776 of the family's 1533-position model. The record is from RNAcentral.
UACGGAGGGUGCAAGCGUUGCUCGGAAUUAUUGGGCGUAAAGGGUAGGUAGGUGGUCUGAUUUGUCAGGGGUGAAAGCCUUGGGCUUAACCCAAGAAGUGCCCCUGAAACGGUCGGACUAGAGUCUCGGAGAGGGUCGUGGAAUUCCCAGUGUAGCGGUGAAAUGCGUAGAGAUUGGGAGGAAUACCAGCGGCGAAGGCGGCGGCCUGGACGAGUACUGACACUGAACUACGAAAGCGUGGGGAGCAAACAGG